Molecule: unclassified non-coding RNA, 1584 nt
Filed under: Leishmania donovani
Lineage: Eukaryota; Euglenozoa; Kinetoplastea; Trypanosomatida; Trypanosomatidae
Description: gene:unknown
Source: RNAcentral
CACGCAAAGACAAACACCCUUUGCGGGCAAGUAUCUCGCGCCACAUGAGCAAGGAUGCUGAGCUCAAGAGACGACACGCGACUAUCCUCGCCCAGGUCUUCACUGGCGCCGGUCCGCACGGUGAAUUCCGGCAACGACGGGUGAUGGGCAGCCACAUCAGUGGAGUGCAUGUGGGGUGCUGCCUACUACUGCGCUAGCGUUGUGGUGCCCUCUCCCCCGCCCCCCUCGAUUCCCACCAGUAUUUGCUUCGAGGACGUUAUACCCUGCGUGGUGCUCGGUAUGCGACACAGAAUUCGCUUCUCGCUGCAGUUCUGCACAUGAUGGUCUGAUUCAGCACAUCUCCUUCGCCCUGCACGGACUUCUCACCUGUGAGGUUCCGUUGGCUGCUUCCCUCCCUUAUGCCCCUGCUGAGCAACAAGCUAUGAGCUUCUUGUACGCAGGCGCAUGGCUAUCCGCUGGCCGCCUUCUGCUUGACAGGCACAUAACUUUCCGAGGCAUGCAGUCUUCAGGAGAGCUCGGGUGAUGCACGAACCAGGCGCGCAGGCAUGCGCACCGACCAGCGUAAACGUGCAUGUGCCCCGAAACGUGCGGGCACAUCCUACGCCCGACCGGGUGUGAGCUGGUGAGGCGCCGAUGCCGGAAGCAUGGCGAGAAGAACCCCGAAUUGGCACCAUCGGGCCCUCCAGGCUCCCAUGUGGAGAGUCUCCAUACUAUGGAAUGCCGGGGCUGGAAGCGACUGAGAAGGAGAGGCAUGGCAUGCAGACGAGUUGCAGGGUCUCAGAGGGCCCUGACCUGAGGCUGGCCGACCUCCUCCCUGAGGUCAUCCGGCAUGCCCGUGGAUCACCACCCCGCUGUUACCCGCACGACAGGCGGCGCCACCGCCCCUGCCCUCGAGCAGAACCCUGGGCGCGGCCCGCUUGGAUCAGGGCCUGCAGCCCAUCCGACUGUUCGCCGGACGCCGGCUGCGCCGCGGGUACCCGACGAAAGGGACGAGGAGGUGACGAUAAGAGCCGGCGAGAUGCAUGGCCCGGUUUGAGGGCAGGACGGCCUGUCCCGGUUGACGCGGAUUUGUCCGUAAUGCCACAGUGGCGGGUGGCGCGUGCCUACAUGCGUAGACUUUGUUGACUUGUUUGUGGCAGGAGAGCACUUUAGGGGAACACGAUCCACCGUGUCGUGUGCUGCACUCUUUUUUUUUUUUCAUAGCUUCUCGUCGCCGUAUCUUUCCGCUCUGCUGCGCCGCGUGCGCUGACCUCACCCCGCUCACUUGUAUCCGGGGGCACGCAGCCUCUGAUUCUGCAAUGUUCGGAGGGGCGGCUGAAAAGGUAGCCCCCCAAAAAGUCUACAUGUGAUUCUGGAAAAGCCAACAUCAUGCCCGCACGCGAUUGUUCACCAAAGUGAUGUGAAUGGCGUGUGUGCCUCCGUUUCCUUCUCUAUGUUCUUGCGCUUUUUCGCAGCAGCGUUUUCUGUGAAGCGUUUUUGUCUGAUUCCUUAGUUUUGUGGGUCUCCCGUCGUUGCUAUGUCACGCUCGUUUUCUUCCUGACUUGCACCGCCUCCACCUCAUCCCGUCCUGCCUCCUUUCUCUAG